CGUGUAGGCGGCCGAUUAAGUCCGGAGUGAAAGUCCUGCUUUCAAGGUGGGAAUUGCUUUGGAAACUGGUUGGCUUGAGUGCGGAAGAGGUAAGUGGAAUUCCCAGUGUAGCGGUGAAAUGCGUAGAGAUUGGGAGGAACACCAGUGGCGAAGGCGACUUACUGGGCCGUAACUGACGCUGAGGCGCGAAAGCGCGGGGAGCGAACAG
Molecule: ribosomal RNA, 208 nt
Filed under: uncultured bacterium
Lineage: Bacteria
Description: partial 16S ribosomal RNA
Rfam family: Bacterial small subunit ribosomal RNA
Source: RNAcentral